CCUACGGGAGGCAGCAGUGAGGAAUAUUGGUCAAUGGACGAGAGUCUGAACCAGCCAAGUAGCGUGAAGGAUGACUGCCCUAUGGGUUGUAAACUUCUUUUAUAUGGGAAUAAAAUGUUCCACGUGUGGGAUUUUGUAUGUACCAUAUGAAUAAGGAUUGGCUAACUCCGGGCCAGCAGCCGCGGUUAUACGGAGGAUCCGAGCGUUAUCCGGAUUUAUUGGGUUUAAAGGGAGCGUAGGUGGAUGGUUAAGUUAGUUGUGAAAGUUUGCGGCUCAAACGUAAAAUUGCAGUUGAAACUGGCAGUCUUGAGUACAGUAGAGGUAGGCGGAAUUCGUGGUGUAGCGGUGAAAUGCUUAGAUAUCACGAAGAACUCCGAUUGCGAAGGCAGUUCACUGGACUGCAACUGACGCUGAGGCUCGAAAGUGUGGGUAUCAAACAGGAUUAGAUACCCCAGUAGUC
RNAcentral lists this ribosomal RNA (460 nucleotides) under uncultured bacterium. RNAcentral describes it as "partial 16S ribosomal RNA". It matches the Rfam family "Bacterial small subunit ribosomal RNA", at positions 338 to 795 of the family's 1533-position model. The record is from RNAcentral.